AAGACUCAGAAGAUGCAUUGCACAUGUCCAUGGAGUGAAAGAGGACCGAUUGUGGUUUAGAGCUGAGCUUAGUGGUGCUUUUGUUCCUCAUCAAAUAUCACAAUGGAGGUGAAGCCAUCAAAAGUGAAGUCACCAAGAAUGCUGAUUGGAGAGGCAGGAGCAGUGGCUCAGUGGUAAAGAGGACUUACUGCGCUUUCAGGGGCUCCAGCUCCAGGACCUGCUGCUCUCUUCAGGCUUCCAUGGGUACCCACAGGCACUUACCGGACGUCCUCACAUGCUUGCUGUC
This 286-nucleotide long non-coding RNA is filed under the name Mus caroli (Ryukyu mouse). RNAcentral's name for it is "lncRNA (MGP_CAROLIEiJ_G0004730.1)". The record is from RNAcentral. Lineage: Eukaryota; Metazoa; Chordata; Mammalia; Rodentia; Muridae.